CGGGGCGUGGCGCAGUCUGGUUUUAGCGUGUCUGACUGGGGGUCAGAAGGUCGCAGGUUCAAAUCCUGUCGCCCCGA
RNAcentral lists this transfer RNA (77 nucleotides) under Planctomycetaceae bacterium. RNAcentral describes it as "tRNA-Pro". It matches the Rfam family "tRNA". From Rfam's summary of the family: Transfer RNA (tRNA) molecules are approximately 80 nucleotides in length. Their secondary structure includes four short double-helical elements and three loops (D, anti-codon, and T loops). The record is from RNAcentral. Lineage: Bacteria; Pseudomonadati; Planctomycetota; Planctomycetia; Planctomycetales; Planctomycetaceae.